RNAcentral lists this non-coding RNA (27 nucleotides) under Rattus norvegicus (Norway rat). The record is from RNAcentral. Lineage: Eukaryota; Metazoa; Chordata; Mammalia; Rodentia; Muridae.
UAGCAUGCACAAGAUGAGAAAUACCCA